RNAcentral lists this ribosomal RNA (492 nucleotides) under uncultured bacterium. RNAcentral describes it as "partial 16S ribosomal RNA". It matches the Rfam family "Bacterial small subunit ribosomal RNA", at positions 29 to 507 of the family's 1533-position model. The record is from RNAcentral.
AGUGAACGCUGGCGGUAGGCCUAACACAUGCAAGUCGAACGGCAGCACAGUAAUAGCUUGCUCUUACGGGUGGCGAGUGGCGGACGGGUGAUGAAUACAUCGGAAUCUACUUUUUCGUGGGGGCUAACGUAGGGAAACUUACGCUAAUACCGCAUACGACCUACGGGUGAAAGCAUGGGAUCUUCGGACCUUGCGCGAUUGAAUGAGCCGAUGUCGGAUUAGCUAGUUGGCGGGGUAAAGGCCCACCAAGGCGACGAUCCGUAGCUGGUCUGAGAGGAUGAUCAGUCACACUGGAACUGAGACACGGUCCAGACUCCUACGGGAGGCAGCAGUGGGGAAUAUUGGACAAUGGGCGCAAGCCUGAUCCAGCCAUACCGCGUGGGUGAAGAAGGCCUUCGGGUUGUAAAGCCCUUUUGUUGGGAAAGAAAAGCAGCAGGUUAAUACCCCGCUGUUCUGACGGUACCAAAAGAAUAAGCACCGGCUAACUUCGUG